Pelobates cultripes (western spadefoot toad) is the source of this 316-nucleotide non-coding RNA. Lineage: Eukaryota; Metazoa; Chordata; Amphibia; Anura; Pelobatidae. The record is from the annotation of a GenBank genome assembly.
CCAAAAUUCACAGAGAGUUGAGUAAAGUGGAAAGAAGGGGCGAUGUGGGACGGAAUUAACAGAUAUGGGUAAAGUUAAAUGUGUUUAAAGAUAUAUAUCAUAGGAUGUGGAGAGUCCCAGAUGACACACGAUGGGAGCUAGACCUAAACAAAGUCCGUAAUGUAACGUAUGAUAUAUGUUGAUAAAUGUUGAUACUGCUUUCCAUCACUUUCAUACCCUUAAAUGAGAUACAACCAACUUGUCACCCACACGUGCAACAAGAAAACUGACUCAGAACAGGGACCACCCACAGUACCUAGCGCCAUGUCCACAAGAG